UUCUACUACCACGUGGUCCACCACGCGCAUGCUCAACGCGCAUGCUCAACACUCGACUUAACAUACUUGGCGUUAACUACGUUUAAUUGCAUUAAACUACAUUAAAAUUGUGACUUCCUAUAUACUCCAGCCUGGCAGGACUCUCUAAGCCUAAGACUGAUCCCAGUCCACAGUGCAUGUCUCGUGUGACAUGUACCACUCAAUGUACCACUCAAUGUUUCAGCAUGCCAUGUCUCCAGUGUUUAGCUAUUGUGUUGCUGUGCUGGUCAUACAUGCUACAUGUCACUAGCCGAGGGUUUGCACUCUAGUUUGUUUGUUUGUUUGUGAUUGGCUUUUCUACUCACCUGGUAGCCUCGAUCCCAGGCCGAGUUUUCGCUUUUAUAACGGUUAGGCGAACAACUGGGCCUGGUACUAGUUGUCUGCGCAUGCGUCAGUCGUUCGUCAGAUUCUGACGAAUGGAUAUUCUCGUUCACUUUCGUGACAUUUAUAUUCGUGUACUAUCGUGUACUAGAAGUCAGUUCCCGUUUUAUCAUUAUUUGGAAUGGCUCUUAGCUGAAGCUUCUCUCUUCUCUGAAGCUUAUUCUGAAGACUGAACAACAAGGGAAGAGGUAUAAAGCUUUGUCAAGCUUGUUAAGGUCAGAUCUUUUUGUGUGGGCCCUAUGGCUAUGCUAUCAAGUCUUGUUCAUGUUUGGCAAGAUCUACCAGUAUGUAGGUAGACUACAGUUUCAUCACUAAUAUGGUGGAUCAAGUGAAGAGUGUGAGCUAGAAAACUUGGUGCUGCCAUUAUCAGCUCGUCGACAAUGACACUAACCUGUUUAAUACGAGAAAUUUAAUAUGUAUAGAUCUACACGUAUUUAAAAUGUCUACUUCUCUGUACAGGAGCAAUGGCUAAUAUCCAGCUAUCCCAACAGUGCUCCUCUUGGCUAUACUAACGGACGAGACUGGACAGUUUGAGGACUGGAGUAUGACCUGCUCAUUCGAGUGUUGCUGGGUAGCUCAGAGACAUCAAGAGAAUCUACGUUUUCUCAAGCAAAAUUUAACUGAGUUACGAGUUGGGGCCUAGAAUCAGAGAAGUCCAGCAGCCUGCUAAAUCUUUUUGAAACGUAAUUUGAAGGCAUUCAAUCAUCCUGAGUUGCCCUGGGUCACUGUAAUUGUGCUGCAAGCACAACUGGCAACUCCCCAGGCCUUUGUGAAGCAGCUCCCUAUGUGCAUCUUUUGUGUACUCACUCUGUGCAUUUUCUGUCUACAAAUUUCCAUUAUUGAUUUAUUAAAUAUUUUUGCCGACCACAAAUAUACAAUGAAAAUUUGACGCAUG
Halichondria panicea is the source of this 1315-nucleotide long non-coding RNA. RefSeq lists it as uncharacterized. The transcript has 2 exons. The record is from RefSeq and is a predicted model, not a curated record. NCBI's taxonomy places the organism in Eukaryota, Metazoa, Porifera, Demospongiae, Suberitida, Halichondriidae.